CCUACGGGUGGCAGCAGUGAGGAAUAUUGGUCAAUGGACGCAAGUCUGAACCAGCCAUGCCGCGUGCAGGAAGACGGCUCUAUGAGUUGUAAACUGCUUUUGUACGAGGGUAAACGCAGAUACGUGUAUCUGUCUGAAAGUAUCGUACGAAUAAGGAUCGGCUAACUCCGUGCCAGCAGCCGCGGUAAUACGGAGGAUUCCAGCGUUAUCCGGAUUUAUUGGGUUUAAAGGGUGCGUAGGCGGUCGGAUAAGUUAGCGGUGAAAUUCCGAGGCUCAACUUCGGAAUUGCCUCUGAUACUGUUCGGCUAGAGAGUAGUUGAGGUAGGCGGAAUGUAUGGUGUAGCGGUGAAAUGCUUAGAGAUCAUACAGAACACCGAUUGCGAAGGCAGCUUACCAAGCUACUUCUGACGUUGAGGCACGAAAGCGUGGGGAGCAAACAGGAUUAGAUACCCUGGUAGUC
Molecule: ribosomal RNA, 460 nt
Filed under: uncultured bacterium
Lineage: Bacteria
Description: partial 16S ribosomal RNA
Rfam family: Bacterial small subunit ribosomal RNA
Source: RNAcentral